Long non-coding RNA from Pongo pygmaeus (Bornean orangutan), 2140 nucleotides. RefSeq lists it as uncharacterized. The record is from RefSeq and is a predicted model, not a curated record. The transcript is spliced from 5 exons. Lineage: Eukaryota; Metazoa; Chordata; Mammalia; Primates; Hominidae.
AGUUUCUAGGAGCAACACCCUUUCCCUGGAGUUACUGUUCUAAUUGAGGCCUAGGUUUCUGCCAACUGCCUUUCUUAAGCAGUUGAUACACAAAGACGCACAGGGCCAGAGACUCGCUGGGAAGCAGAUUGGGAGUCACUGACUGAGGCAGCCCUGAAGCUUGCUCUUCAUCUACACUUCUAGUGUAGACACGGAAGGAUCAGAGGGACUCAGGACAUUGCCCUCAGGGGAGCUCUUGGUGCUCAAUGCCUGCAAACCUCACUUAUGCCAUGAAGGUAUUCCUUAAAGGAAACGAUAAAAAUAUCACUUUGGACCAUGGAUGCUAGUGUACAAGAUCCAUUCUUGCUCCCACUGAGCUAAGAAGCCACAUGUUCUGAAAGUGAAGAUGAGGAAUCGAAAAUUAAACAACUCGAUAAGUGAAAUACCCAGGAUUCCCCAAAAGGACUGGCUUCAAGAAGGAAAAGAUGGGUGUUGGAAAAUUUAAUGGACUGAAGAAAUGGCAGCAUUUGUUUUUGAAUGAGAAUAAAAUAAGUGAGCUGCUGUGAAAUACAGUUCUUUAUUAAGUGAAAAAAUUGCCUGGGUAUCAAAACCUUUUUACAGACAACACAGUUUAUAAAAGAGUCUCUUUUGAAUGCUGCAGAAAUUAUGUGUCCAGAGCCUCAACAGGCAUUUGUAAAUGUUAGUCUAAUGAGCAACUUUGUAGCUUGGUAUGUUAAAAAUAAGAUUGAGAACUUUCAGGACAAGUUAAUUUAUGGGUGGCAUUUUCUCUUGCAGCAAAUGAGAACACAGAUAUAGAGAAUAGCACACUGUUAACUAUAUUUAUUUGUGGUGUGGUGAGAAUUUUGAAGGGGUCAAGGAACUUCAGAAACAGGAGCCCAUGAAAGGCAAAACAUCAGGAAAUGGCUGACUCUGUGUUAUGAAAAAGGUCUCAGACCAUUUGGAUGUAGAAUGCAUUGGUCAAAGUCACCAAGUGUUACUAUAGAUGGAGCUCUCAGGAUGUGUGGAGUUAACGUCAGGCCUGUCAAGCAACAGCCCAUAGGUGGCUCUAUUUUGUAGGUACACUAUCCCUAAGUCCAUUAAUUUCCUUAUUCAUCAGAAAUUGCUUUGGGCACAAAGCUAAAAUGGGAGAAGCCAUGGAUUCAGUAAUUAACACCACUAAUUGGCUAUUCUUCUAUGUCUUUGAGCAAAAUCAGGUCAACAUUUGCUUAAUAAAUUGGCUGGCUUACUUGCACUGUGGUGCAGAAGAGAUUUUUUAACUGUUAAUGUCAUCACAGGGGAUAACCCUAUCUCUGCUUAGCAGUGAAGAUUAGCCCAAAGUCCUGAGCUUUUUGCUGACUCUACAACUUAUUUAUAUUUUUUGACUGUUUUUCUAUAGGUACAGUCACAAGUAUUGCACCAAUGUUUCAUUUGUGAGCUUCUCUCAGUCCAGAUAAAGUUAACUUUUUGGGAAAUUCAUUUGUAAAGGAAUAAUUUCAUCUACUUUCCUACGUUGUGAUCAGUUUCCAGAAAUGAAGAUGAUACCGUAAAAUUUAUUCUCUAAAACUAUGCCAUUGAAAACCAACUUCUAAAAAUGUUCUCGGACUUCAAACUUUAUGAAAAUAAAAUAAUAUUAUCUAGCUUACCUUCCUUAUUUUUUGAUAGCACCUAUGUUGGGCUAUGAUUAGACGUUAUCAAACUGUAAUGCAAAAAUGGUACUGAAGUCUAUUUGAAGUCUAAGUAGAACAAUGCUGAAAGCCAGGAUUGUACACACAUUUUGGAAGAGGUGAUUCUAGAUAUAAGAACCAUUUACAGUAGUAAUUCCAUCCAUGUUAGGAAGAGCCUAUGUUUAGGAGCAGCUCGACUCCAAAAUUAAUCUGAAAAAAACCAACCACCCUCCUGGCUUAAGUGUUUAAGGCUGCAUUCUGUACAUCACAGUGAAAAAUACAGGGCCUGAAACAUGUUUUGGUACAGAAAAAAAGAUGUGAGGUUUCUGAUUCCAAGUCAAAUCAGUAAUGAAUUAUGAAAUAAAAAUAUAGCAAUAAUUGUUUUCCUUUUACAAUUAGUUUUUAAAAUUUAAUAUAAAAUGGCAUACAAAUAUUAUAUAUAUUUACAUUAUUACAUACCUAUACCAUAAUUUAAUAAGAAUAAAGUGUUUGCUUCC